Molecule: ribosomal RNA, 252 nt
Filed under: uncultured bacterium
Lineage: Bacteria
Description: partial 16S ribosomal RNA
Source: RNAcentral
CUGCUGCCUUCCGUAGGAGUCUGGGCCGUGUCUCAGUCCCAAUGUGGCCGUUCAACCUCUCAGUCCGGCUACCGAUCGUCGGCUUGGUGGGCUAUUAUCUCACCAACUACCUAAUCGGGCGCGAGCCCAUCUUUCAGCGAUAAAUCUUUGAUUGGGUCAUGAUGCCAUAUCCCAAUGUUAUGCGGUAUUAGCGUUCGUUUCCAAACGUUAUUCCCCUCUGAAAGGCAGGUUGCUCACGUGUUACUCACCCCG